AGUGAACGCUGGCGGUAGGCCUAACACAUGCAAGUCGAACGGCAGCACAGUAAGAGCUUGCUCUUACGGGUGGCGAGUGGCGGACGGGUGAGGAAUACAUCGGAAUCUACUUUUUCGUGGGGGAUAACGUAGGGAAACUUACGCUAAUACCGCAUACGACCUACGGGUGAAAGCAGGGGAUCUUCGGACCUUGCGCGAUUGAAUGAGCCGAUGUCGGAUUAGCUAGUUGGCGGGGUAAAGGCCCACCAAGGCGACGAUCCGUAGCUGGUCUGAGAGGAUGAUCAGCCACACUGGAACUGAGACACGGUCCAGACUCCUACGGGAGGCAGCAGUGGGGAAUAUUGGACAAAGGGCGCAAGCCUGAUCCAGCCAUGCCGCGUGUGUGAAGAAGGCCUUCGGGUUGUAAAGCCCUUUUGUUGGGAAAGAAAAGCAGCAGGUUAAUACCCCGCUGUUCUGACGGUACCCAAAGAAUAAGCACCGGCUAACUUCGUG
Molecule: ribosomal RNA, 492 nt
Filed under: uncultured bacterium
Lineage: Bacteria
Description: partial 16S ribosomal RNA
Rfam family: Bacterial small subunit ribosomal RNA
Source: RNAcentral